Molecule: long non-coding RNA, 273 nt
Filed under: Homo sapiens (human)
Lineage: Eukaryota; Metazoa; Chordata; Mammalia; Primates; Hominidae
Description: non-protein coding lnc-SERP2-10:1
Source: RNAcentral
AGUUCUGGGUGGGAUCAGGCAAGAGGGUCCUCUGUGAAGGAAGGGACAGAGGGUCAUGGGCUGACUGUGGUUCUAGGUUUACCACCUUAUUGUGCCUUGUUCAUAAAGGAGAGCAAAGCAAUAUUUCUAACUACUCCCAGUCUUGACAAUAUUCAUAUUACCAAAGAAGUGAUUUCACUGAAGAUGUGGGGAAUGCUAAAUAACGCCCCUGCAGAUUCUGGUUCAUGAUCAGGCUCCUCAUGGGCUGGCUCACCACCCUGGAGUGUUGCUUCU